AGAGUUUGAUCCUGGCUCAGGACGAACGCUGGCGGCGUGCAUAACACAUGCAAGUUGAACGAGAAGUUCUUUUGGAAAUCUUCGGAAGGAAAAAGGAAUGGAAAGUAGCGGACGGGUGAGUAACGCGUGAGAAACCUGCCUCACACAAGGGGAUAGCCAUUGGAAACGGUGAUUAAUACCCUGUGACAUGGACGCUUCGCAUGGAGCAGCCAUUAAAGUGUUAGCGGUGUGAGAUGGUCUCGCGUCUGAUUAGCUAGUUGGUAAGGUAACUGCUUACCAAGGCAACGAUCAGUAUCCGGCUUGAGAGGGUGAACGGACACACUGGAACUGAGACACGGUCCAGACUCCUACGGGAGGCAGCAGUGGGGAAUAUUGCACAAUGGGCGAAAGCCUGAUGCAGCGACGCCGCGUGAGCGAAGAAGUAUUUCGGUAUGUAAGGCUCUAUCAGCAGGGAAGAAAAUGACGGUACCUGACUAAGAAGCUCCGGCUAAAUACGUGCCAGCAGCCGCGGUAAUACGUAUGGAGCAAGCGUUAUCCGGAUUUACUGGGUGUAAAGGGAGCGUAGGCGGGCGGGCAAGUCUGAAGUGAAAACCCCAGGGCUCACCCCUGGGGACUGCAUUGGAACCUGCUCAGCUAGAGUGCCGGAGAAGAAAGUGGAAUUUCCAAGUGUAGCGGGGAAAGGCGUAAAUAUUUAGGAGGAAACACCAGGGGGGAAAGGCUACUUUCUGGAACCAUUACGGGACCCGAAGGCUCGAAAGGGGGGGGGAAAAAAAAGAAUAAAAACCCCGGGUACCCCCCCCCCGCAA
RNAcentral lists this ribosomal RNA (806 nucleotides) under uncultured bacterium. RNAcentral describes it as "partial 16S ribosomal RNA". It matches the Rfam family "Bacterial small subunit ribosomal RNA", at positions 8 to 805 of the family's 1533-position model. The record is from RNAcentral.